AUGAUUUCCCAAUUCUCCACCAGACCCUACGAUCCGCAGCCGCCCAAACCCUACGAUCCCCCGUGCAAGACCAUGGUGAACGGGACGUCGUGCAAGCGCGGCCUUGCCGCCGUCGCCGCCCUCCCGGACGAGCUCUUCCAAUGGGAGAUCCUCGUCCGCCUGCCGGCCAAGGAGCUCCUCCGCUGCCGCUUGGUCUGCCGCUCCUGGUGCCGUCUGGCCUCCGACGCCCGCCACCGCCGCCAGCCGUCGCUCCCGCUGGUCUUCUUCCGUACCAAGGGCAAUGAGUACACCGCCCACGCCGCGGUCGAUGCCCUGGACAUCCGGCGAACCCCCGCCGCGCGCCGGCCCGUCCUAGACUACAACUACUCUCGCCGUAACUUCACCUUGCACGCCUCCUGCGACGGCCUCAUCCUCAUAUCUUACUCCAACCACCGCUUCUACCUCUGCAAUCCAGCCACGCGUCAGUGGUGCACGCUACCGGAUCUGACCGGCGGCAAUGUCGUCGCCCUGUACCCUCACCACCCGUCCGGCGAGUACCGCAUCCUCUACUGGAGGCGCCCAAACAACAGCGACGACAAUGUUGUCUACUACUACGUCCUCACCGUGGGGAAAAAAGAGAGAUGUAUCGGUCUGCCGGUGGCCUCGUCGUCUAUAAAGAAGGACAGGUCAUGCUGGCAUCUUCAUGCCUGCCACCACCCGCCUGUCCUGCUACAUGACUGCCUGCACUGGUACACUGUCAACGCCUUUGACGGCGAGAUCAUAAUUUUUGAUACACUGGCUGAAUCAUUCAGGUGGAUCCAAUGUCCCACAGCCUGCAGCUCAGCACAACUGCUGCAGAUGGAUGGUACACUCGGCAUCGGCCAGAUAGAUGUCGGUACCAUGACCGUAAAAGCAUGGGUGUUGCAGGACUACAAGGUGGAGGUAUGGUCAUCAAAGUACUCGACUCAAUUGCCGGAGAGUCAGAUGCGGAGUUACCAGAUGCUGAGAUAUGAUAACUACGUCGAGUGCCUAUACGGCAAGGUUGUGUCUGAGAAUGGAGAUAUGCUGCUGAUCAGUCGCAAUCGUUGGUCCCAGACACUAUUUCACUGUGACAGCAAGGGCGAGCUGAUUGAUAAAUUCGUAUGGAGCUACAUUGAUCCAAAGGUUCUUGGGCUCUGCUUCAAACAAAGCCUAGUCAGGCAUGUGUUCUUCGAGAGGAAAGAUGGCAAGUGUGUGAGGCUGCCACGUUUUCUUCAAGGGCUCUAG
RNAcentral lists this ribosomal RNA (1245 nucleotides) under Triticum aestivum (bread wheat). RNAcentral's name for it is "partial small subunit ribosomal RNA". Lineage: Eukaryota; Viridiplantae; Streptophyta; Magnoliopsida; Poales; Poaceae. The record is from RNAcentral.